Molecule: long non-coding RNA, 469 nt
Filed under: Malus domestica (apple)
Lineage: Eukaryota; Viridiplantae; Streptophyta; Magnoliopsida; Rosales; Rosaceae
Description: long non-coding RNA (MDOM_LNC000812)
Source: RNAcentral
AGCCACAAGACACUUUGCAUUGUAGGAGGCAUUAGUUAAUUUUUGAGUGUCCAUUUUUACUUGGUGCAAAUAAGGGUCCACUCAUGUCAUGUUAAAGAAAAAAGACAUUAGAACUGAGGUAGGUUAUCUGGACUUGGAUUCUCUGCCCUCCCAUUUAGGUGCCCUCUCCGUGUCCUCCUGUUUUGUGUGGUCACGGUUAAGCCACGUCAAUAUUUUAUAUUUUUUUUUUUAUAAAAAUAAUAAAACAAAAAGAAAUAGUAAUAUAAAAUGUUGACGUGGCUUAACCGUGACCACAAAAACAGGAGGGCACGAGAAGAGCACAGAAAUUGGAGGGCAGAGAAUCCAAGUCCAGGUUAUCUAGCAUUAAACCUGCCAGGAACCUGUUAAAGUAGCUGACCCAACAGAAAUUCCAAUAGAGUCAUUUGAUUAGAGUAGUUUUCACACCAAGUGAAAUCAGAACGAGGUCGAG